ACACAUGCAAGUCGAACGGUAACAGGAAGAAGCUUGCUUUUUUGCUGACGAGUGGCGGACGGGUGAGUAAUGUCUGGGAAACUGCCUGAUGGAGGGGGAUAACUACUGGAAACGGUAGCUAAUACCGCAUAACGUCGCAAGACCAAAGAGGGGGACCUUCGGGCCUCUUGCCAUCGGAUGUGCCCAGAUGGGAUUAGCUUGUUGGUGGGGUAACGGCUCACCAAGGCGACGAUCCCUAGCUGGUCUGAGAGGAUGACCAGCCACACUGGAACUGAGACACGGUCCAGACUCCUACGGGAGGCAGCAGUGGGGAAUAUUGCACAAUGGGCGCAAGCCUGAUGCAGCCAUGCCGCGUGUAUGAAGAAGGCCUUCGGGUUGUAAAGUACUUUCAGCGGGGAGGAAGGGAGUAAAGUUAAUACCUUGCUCAUGACGUACCCGCAGAAGA
This 445-nucleotide ribosomal RNA is filed under the name Escherichia coli. Its description in RNAcentral is "bacterial SSU rRNA". It matches the Rfam family "Bacterial small subunit ribosomal RNA", at positions 51 to 488 of the family's 1533-position model. Lineage: Bacteria; Pseudomonadati; Pseudomonadota; Gammaproteobacteria; Enterobacterales; Enterobacteriaceae. The record is from RNAcentral.